This 265-nucleotide ribosomal RNA is filed under the name uncultured archaeon. RNAcentral describes it as "partial 16S ribosomal RNA". It matches the Rfam family "Archaeal small subunit ribosomal RNA", at positions 719 to 982 of the family's 1478-position model. The record is from RNAcentral.
ACACGUCUACAUUAGAUACCCCGGGUAGUCCCAGCCGUAAACUAUGCGCGUUAGGUGUAUCGGUGACCACGAGUUACCGAGGUGCCGAAGGGAAACCGUGAAACGUGCCGCCUGGGAAGUACGGUCGCAAGGCUGAAACUUAAAGGAAUUGGCGGGGAGCACCACAACAGGUGGAGCCUGCGGUUUAAUUGGACUCAACGCCGGGAAGCUCACCGGAUAGGACAGCAGAAUGAUUGCCGGGCUGAAGACCCUGCAUGACUAGCUG